Molecule: ribosomal RNA, 432 nt
Filed under: Trachylepis maculilabris
Lineage: Eukaryota; Metazoa; Chordata; Lepidosauria; Squamata; Scincidae
Description: partial 16S ribosomal RNA
Rfam family: Bacterial large subunit ribosomal RNA
Source: RNAcentral
CAUAGCCUUUAGCAGUAUAAGUAUUAAAGGUCCCGCCUGCCCAGUGAAACUUUUUAACGGCCGCGGUAUUCUAACCGUGCAAAGGUAGCGUAAUCACUUGUCUUCUAAAUAAAGACCAGUAUGAACGGCUAAAUGAGGACAAGCCUGUCUCUAAUAACUAAUCAGUGAAACUGAUCUUCCAGUACAAAAGCUGGAAUACAGACAUAAGACGAGAAGACCCCGUGGAGCUUAAAACAAAGUACUAACCAUCCCAGGCCCUAGUACCCUGUUUUGAGUUGGGGCGACUUCGGAAUAAAACAUAACUUCCGAGCACAGAACCACCAGUUCGAGCCAAGGCCAACAAGCCUAAGCAAAACAUGGACCCGGCCCAUGCCGAUCAACGAACCAAGUUACCCCGGGGAUAACAGCGCUAUCUUCUUCAAGAGUCCCUAU